GGGGUCUAGAAGACAAGAAAAGAAAAUGUAUCAAACUUGAUAACUCUGAUGUAAUAGCGAGAUUGUAAUUUGGAAGUAAAAAUGUAAACAGAAACUGUGAUGUAAAAAGUGGUUGUAAAAUGAAUGCAUGUAAUAGCAAGUAGAUUAUGUAUUUGAUACUUCCUUAUGCAAUCUGGAUUGAUAUCCGUUCCUAGUUGGAACAUUCGUUGAUUGUUUGGAUUGCGACGCCUUGGACGUACUGGGGAGACUCUGUCCGCGUACAAAGGAAUCCCCGGUCCGUUCGGUGGUCUGUCGUCGGCGCCGCGACCCUGUCCAAAUAGGCGGUUGGUCGCAGGGAGUGACAGAUAAGAUGGUAUCAGAGCAUAAAGUAGAGAAUGGGCUAUGGUUUAGCUGGACCUAGGAGACCUAGGAUAGUAAACCAUAGGAGAAUAAGGCUCGUGAGAGACGAGGACUUGUGAAUUACGGCGAAAGAUUGAUCGAUUGGGUCAGGUUAGUAACCCUCUGAAACGGAUGUUAGAGGUGGAUUCAAGGUUCAGUUUAUUCUCAGCCGAGGAUGUUCAUGUUGGGCAUGCACAACAUGAAACCGGGUGAUGAGAAUAGACGUCCUUGCGUGACUUUCGCCCGAUUUGAGUCAGUGUUAGUUGUCUCGUGUUCGACCCAGAGGGUCGAGGGUUGAACGAGUUGUCGUGCUUUAGGAAGCGAUGGCAUCGUGUAGGCGAUCAAUAUAAAGAUCGGCGCGGGAUGAGACAAGUGGUGUCCCUAAGCAAUCUGAAGCGAGCGGAGAAUUGAAACUUCGCUAUCAAUUGGCCACACUCGUGGGAGUGGUGAGGCCACGAGUCGGUGGUGCAGCGUCAGUAGGAGACUACCAUACACCAAAGGGAUCGUGUAAGAGGGACUCCAAGAGUUGGUGGACCAGUGGUGAUCGCACUAGUUUCGGCUCGUCGAGUAUGGCCGGGAGUCGCGGUGGAGGUGUUUCCGUCGGGGUUGGGUGAUCCGACUUCUAGCAGUUCGUUGGUGGAGGCAGUGAGGAGGGCGAGCUUUGGUGGCCCUCAUGACCUUCAAGCUAUUGGAUCCACCCACCUUUGGUGGAGAGGAUGCGGAUCCAUGAACCAUGGAGUUGUGGAUCGACUCCAUAGAGACUCUCUUUAAGGGUCUAUGUGCUGUGGAGCGGGAUAAGGUACGCCUAGCCGUGCGUUGUCUGAAACAAUCGGCGAUGGUGUGGUGGAAAGGCGUCAAGCGGAUUUGAUCGCCUAGUUUCCUUCCUGUCGCUUGGGAUGAGCUUCGGGAUUUGUCGUGUUCUACUUCCCCGUACCCCGUACCCGAAGUUUGCCCAGUCUGGGCAGUGCACAUUCUUGAGUGCAAUUGCAAUCCCUAACCUCGGAGGUGUCUUGUGUUAACUUCUUCAAGAUACGGGAUUACCGAAGUUCUCACCAGGCGCGGUGGGGUGCGCUGCGUGAUGAGAUCUGCAUUCGUAUGGGCGAUGGCCAAGCCAUAAGCGAGGGGAGUGCCGCUGAGGGAUGAUCAGACCUUAGCGUUAGCGACGGCCUCCUCCUCCCCGAGACAGCCUGUGCGUGUGUCACCUGCAGCAUGGUUUGGAGGGUGAGUGAUAAAGAAGUGACAACCUGAGGGUUCGCGGCGAGCGCCAGGUGGCCAUGGAUAGCGACCCGGUUUGGGGAGCCUGCUGCUGCCGAGGAUAUCGCGGCAGAUGUGAUUUAGUUAAAGCAAGCAGGUACUUUUGCAUGAUCUCAAGUUGACGCAUUGUGUCUUUGCCCUGUGGUCAUUUACUGCUAUCGAUGCGUCAGAGUGGCAGGGACCAAGUGGACGGGUAAGUGUAAAUGCCCGGGCAUGCUUAUGCGGUGAAAGUGUAGCACCUGCCGGUGCAAGCAAGGAGCUAUAUGGCACUAACAAGUUACUAGUGAUAACCAGGUGAUAAGACUCAUGGUAAAGGUGGAGAUGGGGAAAUGACUCUCGAGGCAACGAUUAGUGGAUUGCGAGGGUUGAACCAUAAUACCUGUAGACACGCGAGUAAUCCGAGAAUUUCGGAUAUUGUUCCGAUAGAUCGAACGGUGAAAGGAAAGUCAUUGUUGAGAGAGUAACUGGUUAGUUACCAAGUUGUGGCACGUGGGCCUAGUAGUAGCACCUCAACUUGAGGUUAGAAGUUGUGCUUAUUUGGUCGGCGCGCAUAGGCAGGGUUGCCUGAUGCUAGAUUUAGUUUGGAACGCUAUAGAGGCGUGUAGAGCGCUUGAGUAUAGGUACUCGUGGUGUGCGGUAUUCACUCAGCCGAGAAAGUGAGAUGGCAGUAGCACUGUAGCAUUGCUAGGUGUGAAGCGUGCCUGGUAUCACUCGUAGGGGCUGAUGGCUCGCACUAGGUGCUUAGGAGCGGAUAUUGGUAUGUGUGACUCGGUAGAGCAUGUCGUGUAGGACGACGACGGCGGGUAGUGCUUGGGGACGACCCGUGCCUGGACCAUUUGUGGACUGUAGAGCCUGAGCCCUUUGGGCAGGCGCAGUCAGCUGUGAGAGACAGCGGCCCGAUACCUACAGGUAGGGCAGAGAUUUGGUCAGGAUGGUAGUCCGAGCUUAGACCCGGGAGCGUGGAAUGCCACGUGUUAGAUCAUGAGAUCGAGGAUACACCGAGUGUGUAGUGACCCAACCCGAGGAUUUGAGGUGGUUUGGGGUCACGGUUGCUCCUGGUUGGAGCGUGUGCGAAUUCUCCAAUGCGAAUUUCGCCCGAUUAUGAUUUGGCCUACGCUGGUGAGCAAGGGACGCUAUACGUAGUUGUAAGAGGUUUAGGCGGUAGACCUACGUAGGACGGGUGACUGUUGGUCCACCUGUGGAAACCGACGUAAUCGGUUUAGCCGAUAACUCUAUUAGUGAGUUGGCUUGGAUUCACGAACAUAGGGUUCGUGUGGAUUUGUCGCAAGAGCAAGGUAAAGUUGGUCGUGGCUUAUGAUAUCAAGGGCGAAAUGCUCUUGUGCGAUAUUGAGAUGUGGAUAGCCACGUGGGAAUUGGAGCUUGAGGACAAUGCUCUUUUGUGGAUUGAGAUUGGAGAUGUGCCGGAAUGGGCCAUCUCCUGAUAGAACAAGGAUCCGGUUGUGAUGAACCACUCGCGAUUGGUCGAGUCACCAACGAUAUUGCUUCUAAGCAAUGCAGGUGAUCGAAUCGGAGUGAAAUUUUUCGUUUGGGUGUAUAAUGCAAGAGUAGUUCUUUGCAUGGUGGUAAUACACUUUUGGAGCUGCACGUGGCAAAUGUGAGUGAAUCUAGUCUCACAUCUUCCGUAGUGAGCCUAUGGAUAGUUCCGAUGAGCGAAAAGCCACUCCGAGAUGCAAAAGUGCACUGUACCCCUUGUCACUCAAGAAAGAGAAUUAGAGUGUGAAUUGGGUUGAAGUGAGUGAGUUUCGGGGACGAAACUCUUUUUAAGGAGGGGAGAAUGUAAGGUACCGGACUUCUAAAACUAUGAAGUUACGGUGUACAUUUAAAUGGCUCCGGUGAGGUUGCGGCGGAAUGUAACAUACCGGAUUUUAAAUAUAAAAGUGAAAAUAAAUAAAAAUAGUAUGAGAUACUAUUUUUAUUGGAUUUAGAGAAGUGAAAUAUAGGUUGGGAAUGACCUGUGCUGAAAUCGGAGCGAAAACAGAAGAUUUAGAAUUUUCUGUUGGAAAUGGGACAGAUAAUUAGCAGAAAAUGCACAGUCUCAGAAAAUUAUGAAAAUUGGCGGGGAUGUCAGAAAUAUUUUAAUGAGGCUAGAUUUGAAGUUUCAUAUUUUUCUGACGCCCGUAGAGAGAGAAAUAGCAUCCGAAAGCCAUCUGAUAAAGAUUGCAGUUCGGCACAGUUUUCGGUGACCAAACGGGGUCGAAACUGAAAUAUUAAAAUUUCUUUGGACUUAUUAAGUAAAACCGAGCGUGCCUGUCAAAUUUGAGCUCAAACGGAUAUUCAGGGAGCUCCGGCGAAAGAUAUCAGAUUUGGAGCUGCCUGAUGUGAAUAGUGUAUGCUACUAUUGAGGUGUUGACUAUAAGUAGAAGCUACUAGGCUUCUUCCUCCUCAAGUUGCAGCCAGCACCAAGCAUCACACGCACAUGGUGUAGUGAGAGAAACCCUCUCUUUCUCUCUCUAAAUAUCUCUCUCAUCUCUCUAUAUUUCUCGCCCAAAUUCGCGGCGUUGGUGGAGAUCGAGCUUGCGAACGCGUUGGAGGCGACGGAUUGAGCUUUCGUGCGCCCGUUGGAGCGGCGUGUUUUCGUUGCGGCGUUCACAUUGGGGUAAGCUUUUGGGAUUUGGCUUAAUCCUUAGCUUUAAGUGUUCUAUUAGCCUCUAAUGAUCAUUAGUAAGCAUAUUGAUCCAUUUAAUUUGGAUUAUUUGGAGGUUAAUUGUACGUUAGGGCUCCGAAUGGGAUUUUGUAAAAUGUAAGGGUUUGAUCUCAUUUGACCCUUCGUAAACCUAAUUGCUAGGUAACGAAACGCGUUGGCGAAGACGGUUCGGUAAUUCGACGAGCCGUUACAAAGUUAUUAAAGAAAUAGACGUUUAGGCUUCGGGUCCGCCGGGAGGGCCGAUGCGACGUCGUAAAAUCAUGGAAAUGGAUUUGAGGCAUCGUGGCACAUAACCGAAGACCUAUAAUUUCCGGAUUUGUAAAGCGGAACACGGUUGAGGCGCAAGAUCUUGUCGGGCCCAAAGGGUGCCGAGUGCCGCGGGAGGCCGAUUGCAAGUGACGACAAGCAAUCGGAACGCGAGUUAAGGUGGGUUGUGCUUACCGAAGCGACUAGGUCGCCCUUUAUGUCUUAGCAAUGUAAUCUCAUGUUGAUGCAUGUGCAUGUAGACAAGAGCAAGGAUGCAUGUUAAUAAAGAUGCAUAAAGUAGAUGCUAAGUAGAAAGCAUGAUAAAUGGUAAUGCUUAGAGCAAAUGCAUAUUAAUAACAAUGCAUAGUGGAGCAUAAUGAUUAUGGCAUUAGAUAAUGCUAGCUAAUGUAAAGUAAUGCAUGAUAAUGAUAAUGCAUAGAUGAAAAUGCUUAGUAGAAAUGCAUGGUGAGCAAGUUACACAAUGCUAAUAAUGCAUGAUAAUAAUGUAAUGCUAAGUAAUGCAUGAUAUGAAGUAAAUGCAUAUUAAUAAUAAUGCAUGAUGAGGAUGCUAAGUAAGGGAUGCAUGUUAGUAAUGAUGCAAAGAGUAAUUGCUAAGUAGAAAGCAUGAUGCAUGGUAUAUGUAUAUAAACCAGAUGAUAACUCUAGGAUGAGUAGAGAUGACUGGACAACUAAGUUGUCAGGUAGAUCGAGUGGCAUCUAACCUAGUGUUAAAGAACAUAGGUUGGUUAGUAAACCUAGAGUUGAACAAUCUAGGUGUGUGGCAUCUAACCUAGUGUUAGUAAACCUAGGUUGAACUAGUAAACCUAGAAGUGGAUAUCUAGGCAAAGAUGAUAAGAACCUAGCAAGUGUAUCUAGGUUAAGUGAUGUGGACAUAGAACCUAGAGUGUUGGAACCUAGGUUGAUGAGUAUAGUGGUAUAGCCACUAGAUUGAGCUAGGUCGACAGUAUAGGGUUGGCUAUGAACCCUCGACCUGUGGUAAGUGGAUUCCGGAAUCCCAGGACUUAUGAUGUCCCUGGUACAGGCUAGGGCGUUCGUGCGACGAUUUCGCCGCCGAGCUUGGUACCGUGGGUAGAUUGGGGGCGAUCACAUGGAGAUCACCGCCCGGGGCUUGAACCAUUGUGCUGGCGUUUGUGCGACGAUUUCGCCGCCAGAGUGGUUAAGCCAUUUGAGGAUCAGACCGCCAGAGUAGACUGAAUCCAUGCUGGGUAAGUACGAUGCGGGUGCCUCCAGGUGACUGAGUCUGACAUGAUCGUUGUUGGGUGUGGUGCGACCCGUUCGCCGCCAGACGGUAUGUCAUGUCUCGAGCUCACGCUGGGUAUGUGCAACGCGAUCGCCACCGAUGGUCAAGUCUUGUGACUCGAGCCGUCUUCAGCGUGUGCGACGAUUUCGCCGCUAGGAGGCUGAGUCAGAGAGAGUGCGGUAGGCUGUUGAGCAGCCAGUGCGCGGACUAUCCGCAGAUGAUUGACUCGAAGCCGAGUCGGGUGGUUAGCUAUGAUAGGGUAGAGGAACCCUUAUGAGCCAGAGAUAGAGGCUUGAGCUAAGGUAAUAGAAACCUUAGAAGCCAGUGGUUGGUGUUGUGAUCCUAAGGUAAUAGAAACCUUAGAGUAAAGUUAUGAGCUAAAGUAGCCAAGUAAAAGUAGAAUUCAUAUGAUCUACUAGUUGUUGCAUGGUUUUCAUAUCGCAUAUCGUGAGGCAUGGCAUGUAUUUCAAUUGAAUAUAUAUAUCUGUUGUAUAUUGUUGAACUAACAUGUUGCAGUGCCUCCUCGGACCUAUCGGUCGAGCUUUUCCCUUGGGUGGCCGUACCCACUGGGAACCAUGGAGUUGGUUCUCACCCCACGUGAUUUUGGGGUGUUUUCACGUUGUUCGUGUGCGGCGCGGCGGCGCGAGGCGAGGGCGUAGCUCAGUAGAUAGCGCCCCACCACAGAGACCGAGGUAGCAGUGCCUUGAGACAGUCUAGCUUAGGGGUCUAGAAGACAAGAAAAGAAAAUGUAUUAAACUUGAUAACGCUGAUGUAAUGGCGAGAUUGUAAUUUGGAAGUAAAAAUGUAAACAGAAACUGUGAUGUAAAAAGUGGUUGUAAAAUGAAUGCUUGUAAUAGCAAGUAGAUUAUGUAUUUGAUACUUCCUUAUGCAAUCUGGAUUGAUAUCCGUUGCUAGUUGGAACAUUCGUUGAUUGUUUGGAUUGCGACGCCUUGGACGUACUGGAGAGACUCUGUCCGCGUACAACGGAAUCCCCGGUCCGUUCAGCGGUCUGUCGUCGGCGCCGCGACCCUGUCCAAAUAGGCGGUUGGUCGCGGGGCGUGACACACGGACUCCAAAUCUCUUUACACCUCUCAUCGGCGAUACCUUCAAAAAUACGCGGUCUCCAACCGCGAACUCUAAAUCCUUUCUCCGCUGGUCGGCAUAACUCUUUUGCCGAGAUUGCGCCGUCGCAAGUCGUUGGCAGGCAAGGGGAACUUUCUCUUUCGCCUCGCGCACCACAUCAGGUCCAAAAGUAACUCUCUCGCCCACAUCGCUCCAAUGUAUAGGCGAGCGACACUUCUUUCCAUAAAGGGCCUCGAAUGGCGCCAACGCGAUACUCUCUUGAUAACUAUUGUUGUAUGCGAACUCUGCCAUCGGCAAAUAAUCGUGCCAUCCGCUCUUAUAGUCGAGUACACACAUUAGAAGCAUAUCCUCAAGAAUUUGUAUUGUCCUUUCCGAUUGACCAUCACUUUGAGGAUGAAAUGCCGUGCUAAAAUCGAGCCGUAUGCCCAAAGCGUCUUGUAAGCUCCUCCAAAAGUGAGGUGUGAACCUCGGGUCUCGAUCCGAUACAAUAGACACCGGAACCCCAUGAAGUCUUACAACCACGUCGAGAUAUACUUGAGCCAAUUUGUCUCCGGACCACGUGGUAUGAACCGGCAAGAAAUGAGCCGACUUCAUCAACCGGUCCACAAUCACCCAAAUUGCAUCGUGUCCGCCUUGAGAUCGAGGCAAACCGGUCACAAAGUCCAUUGCAAUAUCUUCCCAUUUCUAAACGGGUAUAGAUAAACUUUGAAGCUUUCCCUCCGAAAACCGGCGCUCCGCUUUUACUUGUUGGCACGUGAGAAAUUGCUCCACGAACUCCCCAAUAUCUUUCUUCAUACCCGACCACCAAUAGUGCAUUUUUAAGUCUUGGUACAUUUUAGUGCCACCCGGGUGUAUGCUAUAGGGAGAUUGAUGCGCUUCUUGUAUGAUCGCCUUUCGAAUGUCCUCAUUUUUAGGCACACACCAACGAUUUCUGAAUCGAAGUGCGCCAUCGGUCCCAAUGCUGAAAUCAUCAGCACUACCGCUCUCAACUUCACCCCGCACCUUUUGGGGAUAUGCAUCGGAAGCUUAUUGAUCUUUAAUCCUCUCCAACAAGGUUGGUUGAACCAUUAAUGCGGCAAGGCUAGCCGGCACUCCCGGAGCCACUACCUCAAAUCCAAACCGUUGCAUCUCUUUUUGCAAUAACGGUUGGGGUGUAAUUGCCGAAACAAAAUUCUCUACCAACUUUCUACUUAGAGAAUCAGCCACGACAUUAGCUUUUUCCGGGUGGUAUAGAAUAGUGACGUCAUAGACCUUUAGCAACUCCAACCAUCGCCGUUGUCGCAUAUUUAAUUCUUUCUGGAUGAACAAGUAUUUGAGACUCUUAUGAUCUAUGUAAAUCUCACAAUGCUCACCAUACAAGUAAUGCCUCCACAACUUUAGCGCGAAUAUCACCGCGGCUAGCUCAAGGUCAUUAAUAGGGUAGUUCUUUUCAUAACUCUUCAAUUGACGAGAAGCAUAAGCUAUCACUCGCCCAUUUUGCAUAAACACACACCCGAGACCAAUAUAUGAGGCAUCAUUGUACACUACAAAGCUCUCCCCCGGCAUCGGUAAAGCAAGCACCGAGGUCGAUGCCAAUCUUUCCUUUAAUUCCUCGAAGCUCUAAUCGCAAUCGUCGCUCCAAAUGUACUUCACCCCCUUGUGCGUAAGGCGCGUUAGUCGAGUAGUUAUUUUAGCAAACCCCAUCACAAACCGCCGGUAGUAUCCCGCAAGUCCAAGAAAGCUACGGAUCUCCGCAACACUUGUCGGGCGAGGCCAAUCCUUUAUUGCCUCUACUUUCUUCGGAUCAACCGAAACACCAUCACCCGAUAUUACAUGGCCUAGGAAGGUAACCUCUGAAAUUCAAAAAUCACAUUUCUUUAACUUGGCAUAAAGCUUCUCUUUUUGGAGUAUUUGCAACACGGUUCUCAAAUGCUCCUCGUGUUCCUCCUCACUUCAAGAAUAAACCAACACGUCGUCAAUGAAUACCACGACGCAUCGAUACAACAACGGUCGAAAGACCCGAUUCAUCAAGUCCAUAAUUGCUGUCGGGGUAGUAACCCUAAACGGCAUUACCGUGAAUUCGUAGUGGCCAUACCGCGUACGAUACGCCGUUCUGUGCACAUCCUUUGGUCGGAUCUUCAACUGAUGAUAUCCCGACUGAAGAUCAAUCUUCGAAUAUACCCGCGACUGUCACGCCCCGGAUGUCUCGUUCCCCGGGCACGCCGACAAAUCCGCCGUAUACAAAGAAAUUUUUCCUGUAUACGAAGCGACAGCUGUACCUGUAAAUCAAACACUACUACGAACAGUAGUAGAGAGCUGCUAGAGAAAACAGAAACUAAACAACCUGAAUUUCAUAUAUAUAGUCCAAAUCCAAAAUACGAAGCUACUCGCACUGGCGAGUUAAGUCUACUAUGUACAGAAACUCGAAACAAAACAUCUACCUGCAGUAGGGGCACCUCUAACUCAGCAGGACGGGUAGGGCUCUAACUCGCGAGGCCCUUGCUUCGAUCCUCAUCCGCGGAAGGCGCAGCAGCCGGAACCUGUAGCUCUGCAAAACAGAAGUAACAACUGGGCGUGAGAACUACUGUAAAAACAAGUAGUCCUCAGUGGGUACCGCCCAAAACCACAUCGGUCCACCCACUAAGUCUAAGGACGGGAUCAGAGUGUCAGAAAAGAGGAAGUAAAACUUCUACGCUAGUCGAUACUUCAACUAUCAUGCUUACACUAACCAACUGUUAGUAAAUGUCAAAUCUACCAAUACCAUAUCGGACUGACUAGCAACGCUCCCGGGACUGUGAAUCACCCGUCCUGCCCCGUGCGGUACUAAUCAGGACUCUAUCAACACUAUGCGUCCCGAUGAGAGAGCAAGUCUAACUGAGGUGAGCGACACUCAACGCGAAGAGCACAAAGGCUAUCUCCGGGCAGUGGCACUAACAAUGUGUGGCGCUACCCAACCGAAUGCAGCGUAUCUCUGUCGAGUCAAUCAGGCUUGAAAAGCAAAGUCAAGUAAACAACUUCAAACUGGGUUAAUAACAACAAGGUAACGUGCCCUCGGCACAAAUCUGAAGCCAAAGGUGAUACGGGGUCCACCCGUAAUCCUGACGGAAUCCCAACAGUCCGGAACUAACCUUGAACGAUCCUGUAAAAUCAUUCGGCAACCAGCACGUCGAGCGUAAUAUAUUUAAACUACCUGAAGUAUGGGCUCGGGGAAAAGAAUAACUGCGCGAGUACAUUUUAUAAUGGCUCUAGAGCUACCUAAUCAGACGUUUAAAUAUGUGACAGGUCCAAUCGCAGGUUUUUCUAAUUCAAAUCAAGUUCAACAUGUAUAAAACUACUCAAUUUAAUACACACGCCUCAAUUCAGAUUUUGCUAUCAUUAUACAAAAUUCAGGGGAUUCGAGCUAUAGAAUAGACUAUACCUAGAAUUGAAUUUUGUACACAUGGUCGACAAUUAGAACUUUAGGGUCAAAAACCCGAUGAACCCACCUCGAUCGCUAAACCAGCGCAAGCGAGGAGUCACAAAAAUUCCACAAAAUCCACUGGAAAAACAGGGUGUCAGCUCAAGUUACGAAUCGGCCUGCCACAUCGCACAUCGAGAACUCCAACUCAUUUCUGUCGAAAAAGCAAAAGAGAGAACUAAUUCACCAUGUUACCUUCAAAAAUCAAACAAUAAGGCUCAUGGUAUUCGCUCUCGAAGUCACUUGAAUCAUACGAACACGUUAUCGAAAUCCGACGAUUCCUGCGCCAGAUACGAGCAGAAACACUGAUGAGUCAACGCUGAAAUUCAGCAGAGCGAGCGUUCAAAACUGUGCGUUCAAGUAAUCCAAGGAGGAGUUAGGUACCCACCUCGAAGCGAAUCAGCCCGGGUGCAGUCUGAGGACGCGGUGAAAACCACGCGCUCGCUCGAACUCCUCGCGAUGUACGACUGCAACGUAUCGCGAACGGCUCGACGGCGCGUAUGUCGACGUGAUCCGAGCUUGCGGCUCACUCACAGCUCACUUGUGUGCGUGGGGGUCUCUAUUCACACUAAAGAGAGAAAAGAAAGCAAAUUAAUUAGAGAACCCUCAACCAGAUAAGCAUGCAUGGGGGAGUGCACGUGGCAUCCAUAGCCAUGCACACUUAGUCUAGGUACUAAUAUAUAUAUAUAUAUAUAUAUAUAUAUAGAAAGAAAGGAUACUACAUCCUCCCCCACUAUAAAAGUUUCGUCCUCGAAACUUAAAACAUACCUCAAGACGGAGUAUUGAACAAGUCGGGAUAGGACUCUCUCAUCACCGUCUCUGGCUCCCAAGUCACCUCACGCUCCUCGUGAUUGCUCCACUGCACUUUUACAUGCGGGAUGACCCGGUUGCGCAAUUCUUUCGUCUCGCGAGCAAGAAUGCGCACCGGUCGCUCCUCGUAUCUCAGAUCCUCGCUAAUCUCGAGUGGAGUGAAGUCAAUCACGUGAGAGGGGUCAAAAACGUAUCUCCUCAGUGCUGAGGCGUGAAAAAUAUCGUGGAUGCCGGCAAGUCGCGGGGGUAGAGCUAUCCUGUAAGCCACCGGUCAGAUACGCUCUAAUACCUCGAAAGGGCCAACAAACCGUGGACUAAGCUUUCCACGUACUCCAAAACGGCGUAUCCCUCUGGACGGCGAGACUUUAAGAAAAACAUGAUAUCCAACCUGGAACUCCAAGUCUCGUCUCCUGGUAUCAGCGUAGCUCCUCUGGCGGCUCUGGGCUGUCAAAAGGUGUCGUCGAACAACUCUCACCUUUUCCUCAGCCUCUAGCAAAAUCUCAGGCCCUAGUGUCUUCCUUUCACCCACAUCACUCCAACACAAAGGGAAUCGAUAUUUGCGUCCAUACAACGCCUCAAACGUAGCCAUCUGAAUGCUCGCUUGAUAGCUGUUGUUGUACGCAAACUCAGCUAGUCUCAAAUGUCGAUGCCACCCUCCUCCAAAGUCCAGGACGCACGUUCUCAGCAUGUCCUCUAGAGUCUGAAUGGUCCGCUCUGACUGACCAUCCGUCUAUGGGUGAAACGCCGUGCUGAACUGCAGCUGUGUACCCAAGGCUGUCUGCAAACUCCUCCAGAAAUGUGAUACAAACCUCGGAUCUCUAUCGGAUACAAUCGAAAUCGGCACGCCAUGCAGCCUGACAAUCUCAUCCAGAUAUAGCUGCGCGAGUCUCUCUCUGGAGCAGGUGGUCUGAACCGGUAAGAAGUGAGCAGACUUGGUCAGUCUGUCCACUAUCACCCAAAUCGCAUCAAAGUCACCCUGUGCUCUAGGUAAUCCCACGACGAAAUCCAUCGUAAUCUGCUCCCACUUCCACUCGGGCACUGGCAGACUCUGAAGCUUGCCAGCAGGCACCAGAUGCUCGGCCUUCACCUGUUGGCAAGUCAAACACUGAGCCACAAAUCUGCCAAUGUCUCUCUUCAUUUCAUUCCACCAAAACUGUGCCUUUAAAUCCUUAUACAUCUUGUUUCUCCCAGGGUGAACCAUAUAAGGUGAACAAUGAGCCUCUCUCAAAAUAGCCUCUCGGAUCUCUGAAUCCACAGGCACACACAGCCGGUCCCUGUACCGUAGUACUCCCGAACCGUCCAAAGCAAAUCCCUCAGCCUGCCCCUUGUCUAGCUGCUCUCUAAUCCUCAACAAGUACGGAUCUCCACUCUGUUUCUCUCGGAUCCUAUCCAAUAGAGUGGGCUGUAACAAAAGAGACGUCAGCCUCGCCGUAGACCCAGGGGGUACUAUCUCGAGUCCUAGCCGUCGUAGCUCCUCGAGUAGGGGUCUCUGCUCAGUAAUCCUCAAACUCAGGCUCUGCACUGACUUCCUGCUCAACGCAUCUGCCACCACAUUCGCCCUGCCGGGAUGAUACCGAAUACUAAUGUCAUAGUCCUUCAGUAACUCCAACCACCGGCGCUGCCUCAGGUUCAGCUCUCUCUGUGUGAACAGAUACUUGAGACUUUUAUGAUCGGUNNNNNNNNNNNNNNNNNNNNNNNNNNNNNNNNNNNNNNNNNNNNNNNNNNNNNNNNNNNNNNNNNNNNNNNNNNNNNNNNNNNNNNNNNNNNNNNNNNNNUUGAGUGAAGAGAGAAGAAAAGAUGGUAAUUGAUUUUUCUUUUUUUUUUUCUUUUCUGUUUGUAAUCGGGCCAAAUGGACUGGGUGUGGUGGGUUUAGUAGAGUAAUCUUUUAUUUUUGGUUGGAUUGGGCUUUAUAUUUAGGCAUUAGUAGAUGUUUUUUUAAAUUUUAGAAUAAAUGGGACACUUACUCAAAAGUGUCCCAAACAUGUGUCCCUAUAACCUAAUUCUAUUGUAGUAUAUAUAUAUAGAUAUAUGCAACUAUAACAAAUAAAGUAUAAUUUUUGAGCUUUUUCAUUAGGUUGCAUUUGCAAAUGUUUGUUGAAAUGCAAGCAGCCGAUCAACUCCUAUUGUGUUUUUGCUCGUAGUUUCUACUCCCACUACAACAGAAUUAGGUUAUAGGGACACAUGUUUGCGACACUUUUUAGUAAGUAUCUCAUUUAUACUGAAACUUAAAAAACAUCUGCUAAUGCCUAAAUAUAUAGCCCAAUCCAACCAAAAAUAAAAGAUUACUCUAAUCAACCCACCACACCCAGUCCAUUUGGCCCGAUUACAAACAGAAAAGAAAAAAAAAAGAAAAAUCAAUUGCCAUCUUUUCUUCUCUCUUCACUCAAUCCACUGAAAUUCUAGACGAAUAGCCUUUCUUGUCGUCCUCCUCCGCCACCGCAGCCAACGAGAUAGAGUUUCGGCGGUUGCUAAAUGUUUAAAUAAGUGUUGGUAAAUUAGCAGCACUCUCUUAGAUAAUAGCGACACUUUUUAACUGUCACUAUAUACCUAGCGACCCCACAUAUAGCAACACUUUUUAAAAGUGUCGNNNNNNNNNNNNNNNNNNNNNNNNNNNNNNNNNNNNNNNNNNNNNNNNNNNNNNNNNNNNNNNNNNNNNNNNNNNNNNNNNNNNNNNNNNNNNNNNNNNNNNNNNNNNNNNNNNNNNNNNNNNNNNNNNNNNNNNNNNNNNNNNNNNNNNNNNNNNNNNNNNNNNNNNNNNNNNNNNNNNNNNNNNNNNNNNNNNNNNNNNNNNNNNNNNNNNNNNNNNNNNNNNNNNNNNNNNNNNNNNNNNNNNNNNNNNNNNNNNNNNNNNNNNNNNNNNNNNNNNNNNNNNNNNNNNNNNNNNNNNNNNNNNNNNNNNNNNNNNNNNNNNNNNNNNNNNNNNNNNNNNNNNNNNNNNNNNNNNNNNNNNNNNNNNNNNNNNNNNNNNNNNNNNNNNNNNNNNNNNNNNNNNNNNNNNNNNNNNNNNNNNNNNNNNNNNNNNNNNNNNNNNNNNNNNNNNNNNNNNNNNNNNNNNNNNNNNNNNNNNNNNNNNNNNNNNNNNNNNNNNNNNNNNNNNNNNNNNNNNNNNNNNNNNNNNNNNNNNNNNNNNNNNNNNNNNNNNNNNNNNNNNNNNNNNNNNNNNNNNNNNNNNNNNNNNNNNNNNNNNNNNNNNNNNNNNNNNNNNCAUAUGGAUCCUCAACAAGUGGGAACUACCCUCAACACUGACAGGUAGCAAAGUGUUCACGGAACCCCAACUAAGACGCUCUCGAUUACUCCGUGUAACGGAGCAACCUCACUUGCUCCUCAAAGCAACNAAAGAAAAGACAAACAUUAGCCCGGUUUACCUGACCCACACCACCCAACUAAUCUCAUUAGAAAAUAAAAACCAACCUAACCCGAUAUAUAAAUCCGUAAUCGUCUACAAAAAAUUCAAAGUCAUAUUUACUCUAUGAAUGAUUUUUCACAGCGUUUGUACACAGGGAUAUUGGAUUAAGACAACAUCACCCUCAUCUUUGAUGCUCGUUUUUGUGUUAUCCGGACAUUCCCAACUCCCACAAAGGGUAUACUCUCGACAAUUAGUCUAUCCUGGAUGAAGUACAAUCCUCACAUUUCGAGAAUUCACUUCCUUACAAAAUCCCUGCCCAAGCUUCCAAAGAGAGCAAGAACCCUUCCAACCCAACCUAGAGGAAGGUUCUAAACCCAUCAAUUAGGUCUCCAAGCCCUCAAAUUAAAAAUCCUCAAAAUAAACCCUAAAAUCUAAAUCUAGUGUUUCAUUUUCCAAAAUCUACCAAAAAUAGGUCUAGAGGGGAGAAAUAAGCAACUAACCUCAAGGGGAUAUCCAAACCAAGCUCAAAAUGCUCUAGGUCCAAGAAUCUUCCCUCAAACAAGCCUUAAGUCCAAGCUCUAAGCUUCAACCAUGGUGGAGAUGCACAAAGGGGGAAAAAUGAAAGAUCAAUCCACCAAAAUCCAAGCUAAAAGGAGAUCAAAUCCAAAGAGGGGAAGAGAGAGGCUCCCCUACCUAUUCUCUGCUGGUGCAAGGCUCAAAGAGAGCCCUAAGAGGCGUGGGUACACAUAUAAUGUUGCUGCAAUAGCAAAAACACCCCUGCAGUUUAAGCAGUCUGCGGACUGCACUGCGUACCUGUAUACGGGGCCGCGUACCGAUACACAUCCCACGAAAUGCCAAACCCGAGCCUCGGGUUGGCUGAGAAGCUGCCUGUGUACCAGUACACGGCCCCGCGUACCGGUACAACCAUCAACCCUGUACCGGUACAGCCAUCAACCAUGUACCGGUACACAGCCUGCUGAAGGCUACCCGAGAGCUGACCAAAAAUUCGACUUUUUGGGUUUUGGUGCAAAGUUUCAAACUUCAAUUCUCGGGGCUCGAACCAUAGGUCGGAACACUAUCCACGACCCUCCACGAAGUGUGGAAAAGUUCGGAACACAAAUCAAACACUCGAACCUCACUAUUUGCAACGGUUUAGUGUGUUACAUCCGGUCCCCGUAGCCCGAAAAUGCCCUGCGCGGGCUGUGCACAAAGAAGCAUUGUUGAGGGGUUUUUAUGCAAUUUUGCAUUAGUGAGGGCAAUAUGAAGGGGUGAGAGCCUUCUCCUCUCAUUCCUUUCAACCGUAACACCCAAACACCUCUCUCUCUCUCUAGAAGCUCUCUCUCUCUAUUCAAGAAUGAAGGAAAGGAGGAGGGAUUGGUGGAGAAGAAGACGAAGGAGUGGAUGAACCUUCUUCUUCUCCUUCUCAAGCUUGGAGCAAGCUUUUGGAGGUAAGCUCAAGGAGCUUUCAUGGUAGAUCCUUAGAGAUGGAUUUUUAAUCUCUAGAAUUGGUUUAUUUGGAAUUCUAGCAUGCUAAAUAGGUGAUAAAUGCUAGAAUCUAGAAAUUAAACGGUGGAUUUUGCAAUAGUUGCAAACUAGGGCAUCCAAAGAGGGUUUUGGUAUAUGAGUAGUGCUACUGGUACAACCCAUCUUGGGUUGUACAUCCUACAACUAUCCUAUCCAAUGGCUGAUAUUAGUUACCUUUUGAAAAAAAAAAUCAGUGUUAUCCUCACUCCCAUUUUCUUCCUCCUCACCCUUUCCCCCCCUUUUUUGAUCUCUCUCCUCUUUUCCAGUGCCUGCGGGUUAGAGAGAGAGGGCUGAGCGAUAGAGCGAGAGAGAGAAGAUCUCGAGCGAGAGAGGGGCGCCUCACUCCCCGUUUUUGGCGCCUGCGAGCUAGAGAGAUAGAGGCCUACGAGCGAUAGAGCGAGAGAGAGAAGAGCUUGAGCGAGACAGGGGCGACCUCCGCAAGAAAAGGCGAGAGCGAGAGUAAGGGAAACUUCGUCUUUGAUUCAUUGUUUCUGAGAGGGGAAGCGCUGGUUUGAGAUUAGGUGGGCUUCAGAGCGAUACUUCUUGCAGAGUUGUCGUUGGCGAGGGGAACUUCGUGUUUGAUUUGGUGUCCAAGUGGCCGGAUGCGGAUGGCGCCUUGAUUAGCAUCUUGCAUUUGGUAAAUCUCCCCUUUCUAUUUCUCAGUGGAUGGGUGUGACUUGGGUUCGUGUUGUAGUUAUUACGGAUUAAUUGAUUGUGAUGUUGUAAGCAUUUGAUCGCAGAGAAUUAGUGAUCUUUAAUGUUUAAUGAAACUGGUUUCUUUUUUAUGUUGUUAUACUGUUGAGUGUAUACGUAAUAAUGAACGUGAGAAGAUUGAGGAAUUUAAGUGAAAAAGGUAAAAUUAGGACACAACACAAAUGCUACAGUUCCAAUUUAACAAUUGAAAGGUUCGUGACCAAAGUAAAACUAUGCUAAAAGGUCGAGAUCCCGUGGUGCAGUUUACUCAUAGGUUGAAAAAAGUUUUGAAUUUAAGAGUUUCAGUCCUAAUAACAAUGACAACUAACUAGUUUACUACUGAAGUACAUUUAAUGAACUUGGCCUUUGUCACCAUUGUUUUACUUACAUUUGUUUAGAUGCAUCGUAAAUAAAGUAUAUAAGUGAUUUCUCAAAGUUGAUUUUGCAAAUUUAUUGCCCUUCCUGUAUUGAUGCUGAAAUAUUAUUAUCUUGGAACUAGCGAGGCCAAUUCACUAGCCAGUUCAGAUAGGUUGAUCAGUAAUAUUCUAUAUAACAUGAAAGUCCAACUAUUCGUCUCUUACGCAUAAUUGCUGUCCAAGUGUGCUCAAUUUACUAGCUGCGAUUCCUUACUUCUGGUCCACACUGUCUAAUUACUUCCAGUAUAUGAUGCUCGUCCUUGAGCUGCAAAAACUUAUGUCUCUUUUAUAUGAUGUGUGAAUGGCUUGUAAUUCAAGUGAGCAUUAUCUUAUCAGUCUUAAAAAUAAGACUGAUAAGUUGCGACUAUCUCAUUGGAGUUCUUUGUCUUCACAUUUGUCAUGUACUAACUAAAACGUUUAGGAUUAUAAUAAAAUACUUGUAUUAUUUUGUUAUGCCACAAUAAUUCAUUUUUAGGGCAUAGUAGAAUGUGGUGUAUACAUUAUUAAUUUAGAUGUAUUGAUUUUGAUAAAUAGUUUGCCCGGUCACCAUUAUUCCAAUUGUGUAUUUCGACUGCAUGUGAUGUCUUACAAGUGAGCAAUUUUGUUAAAUUUCUGGGUUGACUGAUUAUUUGAAUUGAACAUUUUUGAGAUAGAUGAAGAAAAAAACAGUGAUGUCAGAGACGUAAAUAUUUCGGCACCAGAAAUUGGAAUGUCUUUUAUCAAUUUUGAAGCUGUUUUUAAUUUCUAUAAGCAUUACGCACAAGAAUUAGGAUUUGGAGUUGUAAAGAGGACAACUAAAAUGAUUGAUGGCAAGGCUACGUAUAUAAUAAUCGCAUGCUCUUGUCAUGGAAAAAUGCAUCGGACCGUGACGAAUCUUCGUCCUCGUCCAUCGUUGGUGAAGACGAACUGUCUUGCGAGGAUAAAUGUGGUAAUAAAUGCGGAUUCAUCUUGUGUAAUAAGUAAAAUUGUACUUGAGCAUAAUCACAUCCUAAGUCCUUAUAAGUCUCGAUUUUUUUCCUGCAAUCGAGUUAUAGAUCCAAGCAUCAAGAGGCGGCUUGAUCUUAAUGAUCGUGCUGGAAUCAGAUUGAACAAAAAUUUUAAUUCUAUUGCUGUUGAAGCUGGUGGGUAUGAAAACUUAACAUUUGGAGAGAAGGAUGCUCGUAAUUAUAUUAAAAAAGUCCGUCGAUUAUGACUUGGUGAAGGUGACGGCGAGGCAAUUUGUAAUUAUUUUAGAGAAAUGCAAGAGAGAAAUGGAAACUUUUUUUAUGCUAUAGAUCUAGACGAUGAUUCUCGGCUUCGCAAUGUCUUUUGGGCAGAUGCUCGGAGUAGAGCUGCGUAUUAAUGUUUCGG
This 18462-nucleotide long non-coding RNA is filed under the name Ananas comosus (pineapple). RNAcentral describes it as "long non-coding RNA (ACOM_LNC033176)". The record is from RNAcentral. Lineage: Eukaryota; Viridiplantae; Streptophyta; Magnoliopsida; Poales; Bromeliaceae.